RNAcentral lists this ribosomal RNA (257 nucleotides) under uncultured bacterium. RNAcentral's name for it is "partial 16S ribosomal RNA". It matches the Rfam family "Bacterial small subunit ribosomal RNA", at positions 524 to 776 of the family's 1533-position model. The record is from RNAcentral.
UACGUAGGGGGCAAGCGUUGUCCGGAUUUAUUGGGCGUAAAGAGCGUGUAGGCGGCCAGGUAGGUCUGCUGUGAAAACUCGAGGCUUAACCUCGAGCUGUCGGCGGAAACCCAUCUGGCUAGAGUCCGGAAGAGGAGAAUGGAAUUCCCGGUGUAGCGGUGAAAAUGCGCAGAUAUCGGGAAAGAACACCCGUGGCGAAGGCGGUUCUCUGGGCAUGUCCUGACGCUGGAGGAGCGAAAGUGUGGGGAGCGAACAGG